This 1972-nucleotide long non-coding RNA is filed under the name Homo sapiens (human). RNAcentral's name for it is "uncharacterized LOC101927055 (LOC101927055)". Lineage: Eukaryota; Metazoa; Chordata; Mammalia; Primates; Hominidae. The record is from RNAcentral.
AUUUACUUUGCAUCUUGUAGUGUCUCUGCCAGCUUUAUUAAUAGCAGUCGCAGUAUACCAGGCAGAAUCUUGGCUGACAGUGGAAUCGAUUUUAAGGGCAGCUUCUCCCUUGGUUCCUUCAAUUCUAUAAAAAGUUGGGGGAGGGAAUAAUCAAUAUAGUGGUAUAGCUUCCCUGGUUAUUGGAUUUGUAUAAUGAGCUUAGCUUUAUUAUUUCCAUACUUACCUGAUUUUGGGAUAUUUAUGAGGCACAAUGAUGUCACUGUUUUUCAACCAUACAAUGUCAGGGUUGGGGUUACCCGUAGCUCUGACUUUCAUUUCAAGUCGGGAACCUUCCUUUAUAUUGACAUUUUUCAGUUUUUCUACAAACAUCGGUUUUACCUGAUGUUCCACAGCUGAAAGAGAAAGGUCAUGAUUUAGAGGGAGUAAGGCUGAAAUACCUGUUUAUAACCCAAGUGAUAAGAAAAUUCAUUUAUUUUUAUUUUAUCUCAUUUUACCUUCCACAGUUAAAAUCACUGAAAUUGAAGAUCUGCCUGCCCUGUUUUGGGCAACCACAGUCCAUUCCCCAGAAUCACUGGGUGUGGCAGGGACAAUAAUUAGUGAUUGAGUACCAUCUUCUUUAAUGACUACUUUAUGGGUAUAGUCAUUGACAAUUUGCUGGCCUGUGAAAAUAUGUUUAAAAGAAAGUAGAUUUUAAAAUAGUUUUUAAAAAUUGUUAGAUGCAUACAUAAGCUUGUUUUUGUGUUUUUAUGAUUCAUGAGCAAAAACUUAUCACGCUUACCAUCAUGAAACCAGAACGUCUCUGGCAUAGGUCUACCAACAACCUUUAAGUCAAAUCUGGCAGUUUGCCCUUCUAAACAUUUGAAAGAAACAGGUUUUAACACAAAGACUGGUUUAUAUAGUCUCUCAAGUUGUGACUCAUCUGUCUCCUCCAGCCUACGUCCAGGGGACAUUCUUGCAGGGGACAUCCGUGCAGGAGACAUCCUUGCAGGUGACAUCCGUGCAGGAGACAUGCGUAUAGGAGACCUGCUCACUGAACGUGGAGAGAGAGAUCUGCAAAACAAAGACACACAAUACUUUCGUGAGGCAUAAAGAAAACUCAGCAAAACAAACUUCAUUUUGUCUUAUUCAUUAUUCAUGUUAUUUUAGAAUUUACUUCUUGCACGUAUUAGAAGGCACCUCAAACUCAUUCAGAUCUAAAAUAGAAUAUAUUAUUGUUGCCCCCACAACUAUGUUUUUCCUAUAUUCUCAAUUUUAGCUGGUAGUCAUUCAGUAUAUCCAGGUACCCAGGCUCAAAAAUCUUGGAAUAAUCCUCAAUACUCUCUUUUCCUUACCACUUGGAUUUAAUCAGUCACUAGACUUUUUUGAUUUAACUACUAAAACAUCCUAAUAAAUGUUGGUUGGAUAAGUAAACCAAUGAAUACAUUUAUGGAAAAAUAAAAAAUACACAUUCUUUAUCUCAGAGGAGGAAAACAUAGAAAUGAAUUUGGAAACAAAACAAAGCAAAACAAGACUCCAUCUACACAUUGCAGCCAGACUGACUUGGAGUUUGAAUGCUGGCACCACCGCUUACAGGCUGGAUGAAUUAAGACAAUUUUCAUAGAUUCCCAGGGCCUCAGUGUUCCUAUUUCCAAACCAAUAAUAGUCAUCUUUUUAUUGCAGGGCUGUUGUAUAAAUUUACAUAUGUAAAAAUCAGGUGUCAAAUAAGAGCUAUUGUGAUAUUAGCUAUAGCACUAGGAAAAUAAACAGUAUGUUACACUGAUGAAAAUUCUUUGCUCAUCUUACACAGGGGCAAGAAAUAAAAACUUCUGGCAAUUGUUGGUGUUGCCAAUGGUGCAACAUACCAUGAAGAUUAAGGAAACUUAGCAACAGUGAACUUGGACCUUCUAAUAGCUGUCUAACCCCGAGCUCAUCACUUGAAAAUGAAAAUAUCAAAUAAAAAAAGGAAAGUAUAAUUUAAAAAAAAAAAAAAAAA